RNAcentral lists this ribosomal RNA (443 nucleotides) under uncultured bacterium. RNAcentral's name for it is "partial 16S ribosomal RNA". It matches the Rfam family "Bacterial small subunit ribosomal RNA", at positions 338 to 795 of the family's 1533-position model. The record is from RNAcentral.
CCUACGGGAGGCAGCAGUGGGGAAUAUUGGACAAUGGGGGGAACCCUGAUCCAGCGACGCCGCGUGAGUGAAGAAGUAUUUCGGUAUGUAAACCUCUAUCAUCAGGGACGAAAGAAAUGACGGUACCUGACUAAGAAGCCCCGGCUAACUACGUGCCAGCAGCCGCGGUAAUACGUAGGUGGCAAGCGUUAUCCGGAUGCAUUGGGUGUAAAGGGUGCGUAGGUUGUGUUAUAAGUUAGCUGUGAAAUACCAAUGCUCAACAUCGGGGCUGCCGCUGAUAAUGUAGGACUAGAGAUCGGAUGCAGCAGACGGAAUGUGUAGUGUAGCGGUGAAAUGCAUAGAUAUUAGAAAGAACACCGAUUGCGAAGGCAGCUUGCUAGGCCGGAUCUGACGCUGAGGCACGAAAGCGUGGGGAUCGAACAGGAUUAGAUACCCGUGUAGUC